This 334-nucleotide ribosomal RNA is filed under the name uncultured soil bacterium. Its description in RNAcentral is "bacterial SSU rRNA". It matches the Rfam family "Bacterial small subunit ribosomal RNA", at positions 26 to 383 of the family's 1533-position model. The record is from RNAcentral.
AGAACGAACGCUGGCGGCAUGCCUAAUACAUGCAAGUCGAACGAACUCUUCGGAGUUAGUGGCGCACGGGUGCGUAACGCGUGGGAAUCUGCCCCUUGGUUCGGAAUAACAGUUGGAAACGACUGCUAAUACCGGAUGAUGACGAAAGUCCAAAGAUUUAUCGACCAAGGGAUGAGCCCGCGUAGGAUUAGCUAGUUGGUGAGGUAAAGGCUCACCAAGGCAACGAUCCUUAGCUGGUCUGAGAGGAUGAUCAGCCACACGUGGGACUGAGACGACCGGCCAGACUCCGACGGGAGGCAGCAGUAGGGAAUAUUGGACAAGUGGGACGAAAGCC